RNAcentral lists this unclassified non-coding RNA (253 nucleotides) under uncultured Acidobacteriota bacterium. RNAcentral describes it as "uncultured Acidobacteria bacterium contains 16S-23S intergenic spacer region". It matches the Rfam family "Bacterial small subunit ribosomal RNA", at positions 524 to 776 of the family's 1533-position model. Lineage: Bacteria; Pseudomonadati; Acidobacteriota. The record is from RNAcentral.
CACGGAGGGGGCGAGCGUUAUUCGGAAUUACUGGGCGUAAAGGGUCCGCAGGCGGCCAUGCAGGUUCUGGGUGAAAUCCCUCGGCUUAACUGAGGAAUUGCCUGGAAAACCGCGUGGCUUGAGUUCGGUAGAGGGAGAUGGAAUUCCGGGUGUAGCGGUGAAAUGCGUAGAUAUCCGGAGGAACACCAGUGGCGAAGGCGAUCUCCUGGGCCGACACUGACGCUGAGGGACGAAAGCUAGGGGAGCAAACAGG